CCUUUCUGUUGCGUCUGCCUAACCGUUCCGCUCGUUUCUCGAUCGCGCCAGAGAGAGAGAGAGAGAGAGGCAGUGGGAAUGGCGGACGAGCAGCAACUGCGGCACGUGGAGAGCAUCGCCAAGAAGCCUCGCGUCGUCUCCCUCCUUGCCUCCGAGAUCCGUAACCUUGAAACCGAGUUGUCUGUGGUUAGUGCAGCGGCAGUGGCAGCGACUGCUUUGAACAGUUACGUCCCACUUGGAUCAUUCAGCUGUGAUCAAGACAACGAGAAGAAGAUCAAGAUGUUUCUUUAAGGUGUCAAUGAAGAGAGGUGGAAACAAUUUUCAAGCCAAUGUAUGUGGACAUCAAAUUUCAUGAUAUUCAGGGAAAGAAUUAUUGAUGUGCCAUAGCAAAAUUAAAGAAGGAAAUAGUCCCUGAGAAAUGUAAGGUGGUAGUUAAGCCCACAAAAGUGAUCAUUACACUCUUGAAAGCUUCAACGGGAAACUGGUUGGAUGUUCACUUUAAGGAAGACAAGGACAUCUGAGUAUAUCAACAUCUUUCAAGCUCCAUGCUGGUUCGGGCCCCUCUUAAUUUCAAGUUCCACAUGAAUGGUUUCUAUUUCUCUUUUAAUGUUAACCGGUUUAUCACCUCUUUCCUUGUUUCUUUAAUUUUUCAAGAUUUAAUUUUCCUUCAACCAAAUUCAUAUAACUCUAAAUUUGAAGGAAAGUCAUGUUUGCUCAUAUAAAAAUACAGUAGAAAAGAUUCCCUUUCAAUAAAAAUUCCAUCUGUUUGUAUAACAACAACAGUGGAUGA
This is a long non-coding RNA of Musa acuminata AAA Group (dessert banana), 790 nucleotides long. RefSeq lists it as uncharacterized. The record is from RefSeq and is a predicted model, not a curated record. The transcript has 4 exons. NCBI's taxonomy places the organism in Eukaryota, Viridiplantae, Streptophyta, Magnoliopsida, Zingiberales, Musaceae.